RNAcentral lists this ribosomal RNA (221 nucleotides) under uncultured bacterium. Its description in RNAcentral is "partial 16S ribosomal RNA". It matches the Rfam family "Bacterial small subunit ribosomal RNA", at positions 1271 to 1500 of the family's 1533-position model. The record is from RNAcentral.
AUCUCGAAAGCCUGUCCCAGUUCGGACUGGAGUCUGCAACCCGACUCCACGAAGUUGGAUUCGCUAGUAAUCGCGCAUCAGCCAUGGCGCGGUGAAUACGUUCCCGGGCCUUGUACACACCGCCCGUCAAGCCAUGGGAGCCGGGGGCGCCUGAAGUCCGGGACCGCGAGGACCGGCCUAGGGCGAAACUGGUAACUGGGGCUAAGUCGUAACAAGGUACC